UAGAAUUGACGGGGCCGCACAAGCGGUGGAGCAUGUGGUUAAUUCGAAGCAACGCGAAGAACCUUACCAGGUCUUGACAUCCCGAUGCUAUUUCUAGAGAUAGAAAGUUACUUCGGUACAUCGGUGACAGGUGGUGCAUGGUUGUCGUCAGCUCGUGUCGUGAGAUGUUGGGUUAAGUCCCGCAACGAGCGCAACCCCUAUUGUUAGUUGCCAUCAUUCAGUUGGGCACUCUAGCGAGACUGCCGGUAAUAAACCGGAGGAAGGUGGGGAUGACGUCAAAUCAUCAUGCCCCUUAUGACCUGGGCUACACACGUGCUACAAUGGUUGGUACAACGAGUUGCGAGUCGGUGACGGCGAGCUAAUCUCUUAAAGCCAAUCUCAGUUCGGAUUGUAGGCUGCAACUCGCCUACAUGAAGUCGGAAUCGCUAGUAAUCGCGGAUCAGCACGCCGCGGUGAAUACGUUCCCGGGCCUU
This 473-nucleotide ribosomal RNA is filed under the name uncultured Streptococcus sp. Its description in RNAcentral is "bacterial SSU rRNA". It matches the Rfam family "Bacterial small subunit ribosomal RNA", at positions 907 to 1382 of the family's 1533-position model. Lineage: Bacteria; Bacillati; Bacillota; Bacilli; Lactobacillales; Streptococcaceae. The record is from RNAcentral.